GGCCAGGAAGAGGAGGAAGCCCUGGAGGGGCUGGAGGUGAUGGAUGUUUUCCUCCGGUUCUCAGGGCUCCACCUCUUUCGGGCC
Non-coding RNA from Heterocephalus glaber (naked mole-rat), 84 nucleotides. The record is from Rfam. NCBI's taxonomy places the organism in Eukaryota, Metazoa, Chordata, Mammalia, Rodentia, Bathyergidae.